This 463-nucleotide ribosomal RNA is filed under the name uncultured bacterium. Its description in RNAcentral is "bacterial SSU rRNA". It matches the Rfam family "Bacterial small subunit ribosomal RNA", at positions 335 to 795 of the family's 1533-position model. The record is from RNAcentral.
ACUCCUACGGGAGGCAGCAGUAAGGAAUAUUGGACAAUGGAGGCAACUCUGAUCCAGCCAUGCCGCGUGAAGGAAUAAGGCCCUAUGGGUUGUAAACUUCUUUUAGACGGGACAAAACCCCUUUACGUGUAAAGGGUUGAUGGUACUGUCAGAAUAAGCAUCGGCUAACUUCGUGCCAGCAGCCGCGGUAAUACGAAGGAUGCAAGCGUUAUCCGGAAUUAUUGGGUUUAAAGGGUGCGUAGGCGGACUGAUAAGUCAGUGGUGAAAGCCUGCAGCUUAACUGCAGAAUUGCCGUUGAUACUGUCAGUCUUGAGUACAGUUGAGGUAGGCGGAAUGUGUCAUGUAGCGGUGAAAUGCUUAGAUAUGACACAGAACACCGAUUGCGAAGGCAGCUUGCUAAGCUGUAACUGACGCUGAGGCACGAAAGCGUGGGGAGCAAACAGGAUUAGAUACCCUGGUAGUC